This 232-nucleotide ribosomal RNA is filed under the name uncultured bacterium. RNAcentral's name for it is "partial 16S ribosomal RNA". It matches the Rfam family "Bacterial small subunit ribosomal RNA", at positions 99 to 334 of the family's 1533-position model. The record is from RNAcentral.
CGGACGGGUGAGUAAUGCUUGGGAAUCUAGCUUAUGGAGGGGGAUAACUACGGGAAACUGUAGCUAAUACCGCGUAGAAUCGAGAGAUGAAAGUGUGGGACCUUCGGGCCACAUGCCAUAGGAUGAGCCCAAGUGGGAUUAGGUAGUUGGUGAGGUAAAGGCUCACCAAGCCGACGAUCUCUAGCUGGUCUGAGAGGGUGAACGGCCACAUUGGGACUGAGACACGGCCCAA